UGUUUUCUGAAGAUUUUUGGUCCCAUAAAAAAUGGGUAGGAAACCCAAAGCUUUUAGGCUUGCAGAAAAGCUUGGGAGUAUGGAAGUGGAGCCUGAAAGCAAUAAUCCUUCCUUACAGAAAGUCGAUGUACAUCCUGAUAACACAAAUCCUACCAUGGAGAGGGUUGAACCACAACAAGCUUACUCUUCCAAAACAUCUAUAAGAAAGAAAGUGAAGAAAUCCCCUGCUAAAGUUAGGCGAUCUGAGCGUCUUCAAAAUGCAGUUAUGGCUACAGAAAAUCAAGACGUUGAGCGUAUUCUUGAAGAAAUAACUGUUAGUGAAAGCGAGAAAGAAGAUGAGCCUGCAAAUGAGGAAGUGCCAGAGCCUACUCUGAAUAGGAAAGACUUGAAUGAAAAAGUUGACUAUGUUGUAAAACUUUUGGAGGCACAACAAAAGACCAUGGAUGCAUUUAAUUCUGGAGCAAUUGGCAAAACAUUCUUUAAUGAAGGCUCUGGUAUGGGUGAUAUCACGUAUAAAAGCUUGUAUAUUGACUCCCAAAAGAAGGUUGAAGCUUUGACAGAGGAAAACCAUCAGCUUAAUAGGAAGUUGGAAUAUGCUCUUGGAAAAAUUGAAGUAUA
RNAcentral lists this unclassified non-coding RNA (618 nucleotides) under Hevea brasiliensis (rubber tree). Lineage: Eukaryota; Viridiplantae; Streptophyta; Magnoliopsida; Malpighiales; Euphorbiaceae. The record is from RNAcentral.